UACAGAGGGGGCAAGCGUUAUUCGGAAUUAUUGGGCGUAAAGGGCGCGUAGGCGGCCUGGCAAGUGGAAGGUGAAAUCUCUCGGCUCAACCGGGAGAGGUUGUCCGAUACUGCUGGACUUGAGGGCAGUAGAGGGUGGUGGAAUUCCGGGUGUAGUGGUGAAAUGCGUAGAUAUCCGGAGGAACACCAGUGGCGAAAGCGGCCACCUGGACUGUACCUGACGCUGACACGCGAAAGCUAGGGGAGCGAACGGG
Molecule: ribosomal RNA, 253 nt
Filed under: uncultured bacterium
Lineage: Bacteria
Description: partial 16S ribosomal RNA
Rfam family: Bacterial small subunit ribosomal RNA
Source: RNAcentral